Molecule: ribosomal RNA, 253 nt
Filed under: uncultured bacterium
Lineage: Bacteria
Description: partial 16S ribosomal RNA
Rfam family: Bacterial small subunit ribosomal RNA
Source: RNAcentral
UACAGAGGGGGCAAGCGUUGUUCGGAAUUACUGGGCGUAAAGGGCGCGUAGGCGGCCUUCUAAGUCGAACGUGAAAUCCCCGGGCUCAACCCGGGAACUGCGUCCGAUACUGGAAGGCUUGAAUCCGGGAGAGGGAUGCGGAAUUACAGGUGUAGCGGUGAAAUGCGUAGAUAUCUGGAGGAACACCGGUGGCGAAGGCGGCAUCCUGGACCGGCAUUGACGCUGAGGCGCGAAAGCCAGGGGAGCAAACGGG